AUGACCAGCAGCCGCGAAUCCCCUCCUCACAACCGCAGCAACAACCACGACAACCACUGCUCAGCUUCCAAACCGCGGCCACCCUCCGUCAACCUCAGAUCUUCACACAAUAGCAGCCGCACACAAACCGUCAGUUGCCGUUCCGCACCCUCUUUGAUUCGACGCUACUCCCCCACCGCGACAUCAGCCGACCCAACAUCCUUAAAAUGCGCUGCGUGCGGCUGUCACCGAAACUUCUACCGCCAUAUCCCUCUGUCCAACAACUUCUCAGUCCAGCUUCGUGUGUGUGAACUGUAA
This 297-nucleotide long non-coding RNA is filed under the name Vicia faba (fava bean). The record is from RNAcentral. Lineage: Eukaryota; Viridiplantae; Streptophyta; Magnoliopsida; Fabales; Fabaceae.